GAGCUUUUUUAGAGAAGGAGUCAUGUUUUAUCCACUGCUGCAUUGUAGGGUCUAGACCUGUGGCUAGCAUUUACUGGAAACUCAGUAUAUGCUGACAGAAUUAAUAAGUUACAAAUGAAACCCAGGAGCUAAGUGUGUAGGUGUUGUUGAGUAGAAGGCUCAAGUGGAUUAACUACUUCUGAGCAUUAGAGACUGAGAUGAAUCCUCCCGAAGAAAUCUCAUCACAGAUGGUUCAGAGCCACGCUGAUUAGAAUGCUUACUGUUCCAGCACUAGGACACGUUUAGAGGUCCCAGAGGGCACUUUUGUGCUGUGAAGAGAAUCCAGGUAGAGGUCUGUGGGGCACCAAGCUUGACUCUCUUCUUGACCUUAUUAUUUUGGAUGGAGAGAUUUUCAUGCCUCAGUUCUAAUUCUGGCAUCUACAAAAAGAGAAGACAAAACAAAACAAAGCAACUCUCUCAGGUAUGAGAAGAAAUAAUGCAAGCAAAACAGCUGGCACGAAGCAGGUGCACAGUAAUGUAGUGGCUAAUUGCUGAGACGCCAGCCGGCCUGCUUGGGUUCAAGUCACAGCUUCACCUCCUGGCUGUGUAGCCUUGGAAAAAUUACAUAACUUUUUU
RNAcentral lists this long non-coding RNA (615 nucleotides) under Vulpes vulpes (red fox). RNAcentral describes it as "lncRNA (ENSVVUG00000019304.1)". The record is from RNAcentral. Lineage: Eukaryota; Metazoa; Chordata; Mammalia; Carnivora; Canidae.